RNAcentral lists this ribosomal RNA (478 nucleotides) under uncultured bacterium. RNAcentral describes it as "partial 16S ribosomal RNA". It matches the Rfam family "Bacterial small subunit ribosomal RNA", at positions 28 to 523 of the family's 1533-position model. The record is from RNAcentral.
GACGAACGCUGGCGGCGUGCUUAACACAUGCAAGUCGAACGGUAAGGCCCUUCGGGGUACACGAGUGGCGAACGGGUGAGUAACACGUGGGUGAUCUGCCCUGCACUUCGGGAUAAGCCUGGGAAACUGGGUCUAAUACCGGAUAGGACCCUGGGAUGCAUGUCCCGGGGUGGAAAGCUUUUGCGGUGUGGGAUGGGCCCGCGGCCUAUCAGCUUGUUGGUGGGGUGAUGGCCUACCAAGGCGACGACGGGUAGCCGGCCUGAGAGGGUGACCGGCCACACUGGGACUGAGAUACGGCCCAGACUCCUACGGGAGGCAGCAGUGGGGAAUAUUGCACAAGGGGCGCAAGCCUGAUGCAGCGACGCCGCGUGAGGGAUGACGGCCUUCGGGUUGUAAACCUCUUUCAGCACCGACGAAGCGCAAGUGACGGUAGGUGCAGAAGAAGGACCGGCCAACUACGUGCCAGCCGCCGCAGUAA